This 404-nucleotide ribosomal RNA is filed under the name uncultured bacterium. Its description in RNAcentral is "bacterial SSU rRNA". It matches the Rfam family "Bacterial small subunit ribosomal RNA", at positions 355 to 775 of the family's 1533-position model. The record is from RNAcentral.
UGGGGAAUAUUGGACAAUGGGGGCAACCCUGAUCCAGCAAUGCCGCGUGAGUGAAGAAGGCCUUAGGGUUGUAAAGCUCUUUCGCCCGCGAAGAUGAUGACGGUAGCGGGAGAAGAAGCCCCGGCUAACUCCGUGCCAGCAGCCGCGGUAAUACGGAGGGGGCUAGCGUUGUUCGGAAUUACUGGGCGUAAAGGGCGCGUAGGCGGUUUACCAAGUCAGGCGUGAAAGGCCUGGGCUCAACCCGGGAACUGCGCUUGAUACUGGUUGAACUUGAGUCCGGGAGAGGAUGGCGGAAUUCCCAGUGUAGAGGUGAAAUUCGUAGAUAUUGGGAAGAACACCGGUGGCGAAGGCGGCCAUCUGGACCGGAACUGACGCUGAGGCGCGAAAGCGUGGGGAGCAAACAG